GAUCGAAAUUUCAUUGGCAGUACAUCAAACUGAAAAUUUGCUACUUCAGAAUUCCAUACUUCAAAAAUUGUUGAGCGUUUGGGCAAAAUGCACCUCCCGGAUUACAAUGAUUGUACUCCCUCUGGAAAGAAUUAUAAGACGUUGAGGGAUUUUCAGACACAGCCGACAAAAGUGCAAAUAGACAAUUAUGCCCUUGAUUUGAAUUUCAAACCAGUCGUCUUCUUCCUCACGUCCCCGCAUCAGCCGCGCAUCCAGGCGCUCGUCCUCGCCGCCCAGCUUCGGUCCCCAGGCCGCGCCCAGGCGCUCGUCCUCGCCGCCCAGCUUCGGUCCCCAGGCCGCGCGCAGGCCAUCCUCUCCGCGCCUAGGCCCUCCCAGCCACGCCCAGGCCCUCCCUUGCCGCGCCAGGGCGCCCUCCCUUGCCACUGCACCCAGGGAGCCCUCCCUUGCUACUCGCCUAGGUGAUCCCCGCUGCGCCCACCUUGCUGCUCGCAGGUGCUCCCUGCUGCGUCCACCUUGCUGCUCGCCCUGGUGCUCCUUGCAAGAAUUCAGCAACAUGAUCAACAGCAAGAAUUCAUCAUAGCAGCUGGAUCAAGGAGUACAACAACAACAAGAAUAAAUUCUCAUCAUAGCACAACAGCAGUUCAGGAGAUCACAGGUGCACAACAGUAGGAAGAGCAGAUCAGCAGUGUACAAUAGCAGGUGUAAAUCAACACAGGAGUACAACUUCUCAGUACAACAGCAGGUGCAAAUCAGCACAGGAGUACAAUUUCUCAGUACAACAGCAGGUGCAGGUCAUAAAGUACUCCUUGAUCAUAGCAAGAGCACCAACAAGAGGAAAAGUGGAGCACUAGCACAACAGUGGAGUACUCAUCAUGCAGGAGUAGCACAAACAGGAGAAUUUCUCAUCAUAGCAAGAGCACCGAUAAGAAUUUCUCAUCAUAGCAGCAGUAGCAAGAGGAAAAGUAGAGCACCAGCACAACAGCAGUAGCAACAGUACCUGAACAUCACAACAGCAACAUCACAGUAUGGUGCUUAGAUCUGAACUGCUCACCAC
RNAcentral lists this long non-coding RNA (1054 nucleotides) under Triticum aestivum (bread wheat). RNAcentral's name for it is "long non-coding RNA (TAES_LNC008437)". Lineage: Eukaryota; Viridiplantae; Streptophyta; Magnoliopsida; Poales; Poaceae. The record is from RNAcentral.